Molecule: ribosomal RNA, 1108 nt
Filed under: Triticum aestivum (bread wheat)
Lineage: Eukaryota; Viridiplantae; Streptophyta; Magnoliopsida; Poales; Poaceae
Description: partial small subunit ribosomal RNA
Source: RNAcentral
GAGAGGGUCUAGGCCGGCGGCGCGCGGGCUUCUUGGGGCGGGGGGGAGGAGCUGCCUGCGGGCCGCUCUACGGCGCGCUGGCGCUGCUCGGCCGCCGGCACGCGCAGAUGUGCCAGACGCUGCUCAGGUUCAUGGAGCAGCAGGCCUUGCACGGCCGGGAGCCUACGCCGCUGCUCGAGCCGAGGCACAAGCGCCGCAUGCCGGGCGACCUUCUCACGUUCGGGUACCUGCGGCUCCUGACGCUCCUCAUGUGGCUGCAGAUGAAGUAGUUCAAGCGCGUCCAGUCGUUGCGCUCCAAACGUUUCUCCUUCAACCUGCUCAGACAUAAAGAACCGUUGGCCGACGUCCAAAGUAUACGUGGAGUCAAACUUUCAGAAGACCUAUGGUUCCUCUUUGACCUUCAGUCCUCUUUACUUCAGGAGUCUGCUUAUUCUAGUGGACGACCUUCGUCUGGACUUCCCGAUAGUGUCAUAAGUGGCCCAGUCCCUAGUAGAUCACCCUUGGGUGUGGUAGUAUACUUGAGGUUGUUCUCCCUUAUGUACUUCUGUUACGGGCGAUGAGUAUAGCUUCUACUAGCAAAGUCGGUACACGGGAGAUUAUUCCUGAUAAAGGGCAGGCUCAGCUACUUACGUUGACAUUUAGAUCACUCCGUCUUCGAACUGUUCUAUGUCAGGCCGCCGCUGCGAGGGCUACGACGACGGCGGCGUAGGUUCUUUGGUGCCCGGCUAUUGGCGUCCGCAUAAACUUGGUAACCUACUGUGUCCACUCCUCAUUGGCACUGGGUUAGCGAACGAACAAUACACGCAAUAUUUGCGUGGCAGAAAGAGUACUGUCCAGUUGAGUUGUGUGACACUACACUUAGGCUUCUGAAAGCGGCAAACUAAAAAAUAAAAUAAAAAACGAUGAGGCUAAAUAAAUAAACGAAUGAGAUCUUUUAUACAAACAUUCAUUCUCACAUUCUGUACCAGAGAAGAUCUUCGCUACACCAUCAUCGUUGAGAAAAAAAAAACCUGUAUUACACCACCAUCAUCGUUGAAUUAAUACGACUACACCUACGACCACCAUCGGUCUGUCGAGAUCGUUCGAUCCGUACACAGAAAACCGACUC